GAGAUCAGUAAGAACCUUUAUUUGGGGGGCUCACUGCUGGGCUAGAGGAAGUGGAGUUGAGAGCCAGCAGUGGAGGGACUGACUGAAACCUCUUCCUUGGGGACAGAGAGAAGGAGGAAGGAGAAGGUAAUUUCCAGGUAGUGAUGAGGACAUAGGUUCUGCACCUUGUGGCCUUCCAAAAUAGGUAGCGUUCACCUGUAUGGAAACAACAGCAAGCUAACAGCAAGUGCGGGAAUCCCGGAUAUGCAGUUGGUUUAAGUGUUCAUGUUCUAGUGAACACGGGCUUGUUCUGGAGCAAACACUAAGACGAUUUGAGUGGAGUCUGCUGGUCACCUUUGUGAAAGCUGUUGGGAAAGCUCACAUUCACCUUGUAGCACAUGAUGCCAGAAAUAGCACUGAAGCAACAAACUAGCCAUUGGGGGCUCCCCUCUUGUGUCUCUGUCCACACCACUCGAUUCUCUACUGUGACUUUGGUUCAGGAACCUUAUUUGUUUGUUUUUGCUUUUAAAUAUAAGAAAAGAGCAGGUUUGCUCAGUCCAGCGAUCAAAUCCUGAAUCCAGAUUCCCAGUCAU
Molecule: long non-coding RNA, 572 nt
Filed under: Bos taurus (domestic cattle)
Lineage: Eukaryota; Metazoa; Chordata; Mammalia; Artiodactyla; Bovidae
Description: long non-coding RNA NONBTAT018824
Source: RNAcentral